RNAcentral lists this ribosomal RNA (273 nucleotides) under uncultured bacterium. RNAcentral's name for it is "partial 16S ribosomal RNA". It matches the Rfam family "Bacterial small subunit ribosomal RNA", at positions 524 to 796 of the family's 1533-position model. The record is from RNAcentral.
UACGUAGGGGGCAAGCGUUAUCCGGAAUUAUUGGGCGUAAAGCGCGCGCAGGCGGUCCUUUAAGUCUGAUGUGAAAGCCCACGGCUCAACCGUGGAGGGUCAUUGGAAACUGGGGGACUUGAGUGCAGAAGAGGAGAGCGGAAUUCCACGUGUAGCGGUGAAAUGCGUAGAGAUGUGGAGGAACACCAGUGGCGAAGGCGGCUCUCUGGUCUGUAACUGACGCUGAGGCGCGAAAGCGUGGGGAGCGAACAGGAUUAGAUACCCCCGUAGUCC